This 775-nucleotide ribosomal RNA is filed under the name uncultured bacterium. RNAcentral describes it as "bacterial SSU rRNA". It matches the Rfam family "Bacterial small subunit ribosomal RNA", at positions 28 to 776 of the family's 1533-position model. The record is from RNAcentral.
GACGAACGCUGGCGGCGUGCCUAAUACAUGCAAGUCGAACGCUUUGAUUUUCACCGGAGCUUGCUCCACCGAAAAUCAAAGAGUGGCGGACGGGUGAGUAACACGUGGGCAACCUGCCCAACAGAGGGGGAUAACACUUGGAAACAGGUGCUAAUACCGCAUAAUUUGUUUUUCCGCAUGGAAGAAUAAUAAAAGACGCUUCGGUGUCACUGUUGGAUGGGCCCGCGCUGCAUUAGUUAGUUGGUGGGGUAACGGCCUACCAAGACCAUGAUGCAUAGCCGACCUGAGAGGGUGAUCGGCCACACUGGGACUGAGACACGGCCCAGACUCCUACGGGAGGCAGCAGUAGGGAAUCUUCGGCAAUGGACGAAAGUCUGACCGAGCAACGCCGCGUGAGUGAAGAAGGUUUUCGGAUCGUAAAACUCUGUUGUUAGAGAAGAACAAGUGAGAGAGUUACUGUUCUCACCUUGACGGUAUCUAACCAGAAAGCCACGGCUAACUACGUGCCAGCAGCCGCGGUAAUACGUAGGUGGCAAGCGUUGUCCGGAUUUAUUGGGCGUAAAGCGAGCGCAGGCGGUUUCUUAAGUCUGAUGUGAAAGCCCUCGGCUCGACCGAGGAAGGUCAUUGGAAACUGGGGAACUUGAGUGCAGAAGAGGGGAGUGGAAUUCCAUGUGUAGCGGUGAAAUGCGUAGAUAUAUGGAGGAACACCAGUGGCGAAGGCGACUCUCUGGUCUGUAACUGACGCUGAGGCUCGAAAGCGUGGGGAGCGAACAGG